AAGUAUAUGUACUAAUUCAAAAAUAGACUUUGAAUCAUGAAUCCAGAAUCAUUUUGAAUAGAAAAUAGAUUCUCAAUCAAAUCGUGACACACUCGAAGAUCCCUCACAUGGGCCACCCCGGUCAAAGAAGUCUGGACCCCCCACUGCACAUGUUGCGUCAUAUCAUUUAGUUUGGUUGUGUCUUAAUGUAGUGUGCCAUCAGUAAUGUAUUUGUGACCAUGAGCUUUUAGCUUGUGAGUACCAUGAGCGCCCUCUGCUGGGGCCCCUGCAGACAUGCGUGAUGAGCCCCGUGCCCUGUUGCCAGGUUACACUCUCCGUGGUGAGUUGACUUAUUAAGAGCUCCGCUAAAAAACGAUGAAAUAAGUCAGUUUUUCUGAGUAAAAGUAAGUUUUAUUAAUGUGCCAUGUUUCAGAGAUCCUCUUAAAAUAAUUAUCAAAGACUUUUGUGGUGAUAUUGAUUUGUUUUAGUUGAGUUAUUUCAACUCUCCAUGUUUUUAUGCUUUUCUAGCUGAGUUUCAGCGUCAUCAUUUGUUGUCGUGGUGUAGCUGACUUCACCAACAGUUAGCUUGAUUUUCUGCUCUCUGUUUGAGUAAAUACUGAAGCUUACUACCAAAGAAGUGGCUGUGACAGAGGCCUACAUUUUAUAUACACGUUAAAUGUUUGUCCUGUCUGCAUUAUCCUGUCCCUGUGUGAAUGUUAGAGCUGUUAACCACCAAAGUGUCUGUGUGAGCGUGCUCAUCUUUCUUCUGUUAUUAUCAGAAUAAACGGCUGCUGGUGCCAAAAGUGAGUUUUUAUACCUGGUUCAUCAUAAUACAAUGCUCCAGGAAUUCUUUCACUGAUCCUGAAGAAAAUACAAGAGUUUCUUUUCCAUUCACCGUAUUCUAAGAUAUUUCUCUAAACAUUAACGACACCAUCUGUGCUGUGCUUUGGUCAAAAUAAAACAUGAAUCAAGCCCCAGAGCAGGUUUGUGACCCUGUAUAAACCAGCUCUCUCAGAACGCUCUGUGUGGGUGGAGAUAUGAGGGGAGGGUAUUGUUUUACCUGAAUCCAACUUGUGAUGUCACAAGGAGAGAAAAUUUGAAACGGGGAAUUUUUGUCUGUGACUUAUACAGCCCACAAUCAAAGGACUGGAUGGGUUUAUUUCACAUUUUGUGGGAUGGUAGACACUCAGGUUACCCAAAUGUAUGUUCAAAAACACUGUAGAAGUGGAUUUUUCAUGAUAUGCCCCCUUUAAGAGGCCGAAACCUCGAGCAGAUCCAGACUCAUGAUGAACAGCAGUCUGCUGAGACUGUGUCCGGGCUGGAAAGUGGGAUAGAGUGAGAUGCAGGAAGGAGAGAGACAAACAGAGCAACAACAACAACAAUAAUGCAUAUGAUAGAUUUAAAGCUACAGUGUCAGUAGUAAUGGUGAAAGUAUGUGUAGUAUUAACAGUAACAGCUCAGUGUGAUAAUAGACUGAUCUGAGGAUGUUCCUCCGUAUCCCGAGCUUGAGUUUUGACCUGAGUUGACAAGUCUUUGACUCUUUCCUGAGCCUUUGUGAGAAGAAUGUCCGAUCGGUCGAGUUGUGUGACAGUUGCUGUGAGUUGUUCAUUGAUUGCCUCUAACUCAUUUUCUUUCUUCUCAAGAGCUGUUUUGAGCUCAUUGUUACCUUCCUCACUGUCUUCCUCUUCUUUGGGUGAGUGAGGGCCAGCAUCCUGAAGUUCUGAGAUAGCUGGAGAGUGUCAUAGUUUCGUUGCAGAUGUGCAUGUCCCUCUGUUACUCGAUCUAGCAUUUUGUGGCCAUAAUUUUCUUGGGCAGUCAUGACUAUGGCCAUCUUUGCUAGCAUCUUACCUAAUUCUUUAUCAUUCAGAGGCUGAGCUAGAGCUGUUAGAACCAGGUCUGACAUCAUGUCAUGAAGGAGAGAGGGGUUAGUGUUUUCUACUUUAACCACAAAACCAGGAAUCAAUGGUUCAGUCAUAUCCACCAGAACAGACCCUAAUUGCUCCAUGGGGUCACCCAAGCCACCCUGGUCAGCGCCACUGGGGGUCUCCAUGUCUAACACUUAACAACUGAGCAAAAUAGGAGGGCGAGCAAGAGAAAAAGAAACAAUCAAAAUUUGAAAAUUGAAGUUCCACAACCCUAAAGUUUUAAACUAGAAUUUCAAAUUAAAGUCAAAUUUAAAAUUAAAAUCGAAAUCAAACUUUCAUUGUUAAGAUUUAGAUUUUAACUGGAAAUCAAAGUUUAAAAUCGAGAUCUAAAUUUAAGAUGAGAUAGUGGAUCGUAACAAAAGAGGGUUGUGACUUGAUCUGGUUAAUGUGUUUGAACUAAAGUUUGGGUCCUAGGAAGCAAAAUUAAAAAUAAGAAGUAAACACUGAUCAGUAGUUAUUGUUAGCAGAGGAAGGAGGGUGAGAAUAACUUUAGUUGACAACGACCAGAUUUUAAUCUGAAGGAAACAAAAUGUUUAAAUUUAAGUUUUAUUGAGACGGUUUGGGGUGAAAUAAAAUUUUACUCAAAGGAGUCUUACAGUUAUUUUUGUAUUCCCUUUUAGAAAUUCAACUUAAACCUGUGAUAAAGUACACUGCUAAAAAAAAAUAAAGGGAACACUAAAAUAACACAUCCUAGAUCUGAAUGAAUGAAAUAUUCUUAUUAAAUACUUUGUUCUUUACAUAGUUGAAUGUGUUGACAACAAAAAUCACACAAAUUAUCAAUGGAAAUCAAAUUUAUUAACCCAUGGAGGUCUGGAUUUGGAGUCACACUCAAAAUUAAAGUGGAAAAACACACUACAGGCUGAUCCAACUUUGAUGUAAUGUCCUUAAAACAAGUCAAAAUGAGGCUCUGUAGUGUGUGUGGCCUCCACGUGCCUGUAUGACCUCCCUACAACACCUGGGCAUGCUCCUGAUGAGGUGGCGGAUGGUCUCCUGAGGGAUCUCCUCCCAGACCUGGACUAAAGCAUCCGCCAAAUCCUGGUGCAACGUGGCGUUGGUGGAUGGAGCGAGACAUGAUGUCCCAGAUGUUCUCAAUUGGAUUCAGGUCUGGGGAAUAGGCGGGCCAGUCCAUAGCAUCAAUGCCUUCGUCUUGCAGGAACUGCUGACACACUCCAGCCACAUGAGGUCUAGCAUUGUCUUGCAUUAGGAGGAACCCAGGGCCAACUGCACCAGCAUAUGGUCUCACAAGGGGUCUGAGGAUCUCAUCUCAGUACCUAAUGGCAGUCAGGCUACCUCUGGCGAGCACAUGGAGAGCUGUGUGGGCCCCCCCCAAAGAAAUGCCACCCCACACCAUUACUGACCCACUGCCAAACCGGUCAUGCUGGAGGAUGUUGCAGGCAGCAGAACGUUCUCCACGGCGUCUCCAGACUCUGUCACGUGCUCAGUGUGAACCUGCUUUCAUCUGUGAAGAGCACAGGGCACCAGUGGCGAAUUUGCCAAGCUUGGUGUUCUCUGGCAAAUGCCAAACGUCCUGCACGGUGUUGGGCUGUAAGCACAACCCCCACCUGUGGACGUCGGGCCCUCAUACCACCCUCAUGGAGUCUGUUUCUGACCGUUUGAGCAGACACAUGCACAUUUGUGGCCUGCUGGAGAUCAUUUUGCAGGGCUCUGGCAGUGCUCCUCCUGUUCCUCCUUGCACAAAGGCGGAGGUAGCGGUCCUGCUGCUGGGUUGUUGCCCUCCUACGGCCUCCUCCACGUCUCCUGAUGUACUGGCCUGUCUCCUGGUAGCGCCUCCAUGCUCUGGACACUACGCUGACAGACACAGCAAACCUUCUUGCCACAGCUCACAUUGAUGUGCCAUCCUGGAUGAGCUGCACUACCUGAGCCACUUGUGUGGGUUGUAGACUCCGUCUCAUGCUACCACUAGAGUGAAAGCACCACCAGCAUUCAAAAGUGACCAAAACAUCAGCCAGAAAGCAUAUGAACUGAGAAGUGGUCUGUGGUCACCACCUGCAGAACCACUCCUUUAUUGGGGGUGUCUUGCUAAUUGCCUAUAAUUUCCACCUGUUGUCUAUUCCAUUUGCACAACAGCAUGUGAAAUUGAUUGUCAAUCAGUGUUGCUUCCUAAGUGGACAGUUUGAUUUCACAGAAGUGUGAUUGACUUGGAGUUACAUUGUGUUGUUUAAGUGUUCCCUUUAUUUUUUUGAGCAGUGUAGUUUUAUUAGGACUACAAUUGGAGGUUGUAAGUUUGAAUCACUAAAGUUGUUGUAAAGUUUGGAUUAAAGUUGGCAUUGAUGGUAAACAAAUAGUAGAAAAUGUAUUUGUUUGUUGUUUGGGGAACAACAAAGUUAAUUUUCAACUAGUGUUGGUAAUUAAAUUGAAAAUCUGUAUUAGGAAUGUCAACUGUAGUUUAAUGUUGAAGUUAACUAAAAUAAAUCAUUUUCCUAUUUUGGAGAGAGGCCUGGCUAAUUUACUUAGCGAAUCUCUCUUAAUUUUAUCCUGGAAUCUUUAUGUGAUCAGGAAGCUGUGUCAGAUAUCUGUGGGAGAUAAACCAAAAGAAAAAAAAAAAGAAGAAAAAUCAAACUCAGUUAACCAAAACAACCACUAGAUGGAGACAAAGGCGCCCAAGACUAUUUACUAAAGCAGCCCAGGAGAAAACCUAGUGCUAAAGCUCAAUUGCUUAAAACAGCCACAAGAUAGAGCUCUCGUAUCAGCUGGCCCAGAGGAGGGGUCGGCGCCCUCUACAGCCACCACCAGGGGCGGUGUGGCUCAAUUUCAACCUCUAAUGCAACGAAGAAGUGAACUUACGUCGAUGCGUUCCUACACGUUAGCUUUGCUGCUAAUGCUUAGCUUAAGGCGUGCUCACAGUUCUCACACACAACUUAUAAACAUGACCACAUUGCUUGAAUACACAGAUAGAUAGAAGUAUUGAACAUCAAUAUAGCAGAUUGGAUAGCGGGGUAGAUAGGAUUAAUUGAUAAAGGGGAAGGGUUAAUCGGUAUUGUGAAUAAACGUUUGACUAUUUUGUCUGUGUAAAUAUUAUUAUUUUACAUUAACUUGGCCUCACAUGGGGCACCAAUAUAAUAAUAAUAAGAAUCGGCAUAAAUUAACUAACCUUAGUUAAUUAAUUUAUUUAUAAAUCUGUCUCAUAUCAUUGGGGUAAAUUCUCAAUCAGUUAAAACCAUAUAAUUACACAGAAAGUACAGAAAUUUUAUAUGUGAAGUUUAAUAAAGAAAAAUGGUGAACAAAAGAUAUAUAAAGGGAGUAAAUAGGCAAAGGAUAUAAUUACGACAGUUAUACUGAUGUGACAACGUAAAUAAUAACACUGUUAUGUAUUGUUUAUAAGUUGAAAUGGUGAAGUUCUUAUGUUAGAGUUGGAGUUGAAACGCGGUAUCUUUGAUUUAACUAAGUGGGGAUUUGAGGAAGAAAACAAAAAAGGACUUAAUAACUUUGAUGGAAAGUUGAUUUGAGGCUAUGAUUGAUUGGCUUUUAUGUUAGAAAAGUCCUUAAAUUUUCUCUAAAUACUUGUAAAGCAAACUGCAUCAUCCAAAUGUGCUUUAAUGUGAUAUAACACGUGUAAUGUGUUUGGUGCGUUGAUUUUAUGAAUAUGCUGUAUGGAGGGUAAAAGGUGGCCGUAAGAAAUUGUGAAUUGAAGGCCUGUUUUCUUUUAUGUAAUUGUGGGGUUAUCCUUGAUUAAGUUCAAGUGUUUUUUGUUAAAAAUAGAAAUUUGUGAAAUACAAAACCGGUUACCAACA
Labrus bergylta (ballan wrasse) is the source of this 5656-nucleotide non-coding RNA. NCBI's taxonomy places the organism in Eukaryota, Metazoa, Chordata, Actinopteri, Labriformes, Labridae. The record is from RefSeq and is a predicted model, not a curated record.